RNAcentral lists this ribosomal RNA (327 nucleotides) under uncultured eukaryote. RNAcentral describes it as "partial 18S ribosomal RNA". It matches the Rfam family "Eukaryotic small subunit ribosomal RNA", at positions 1470 to 1796 of the family's 1831-position model. The record is from RNAcentral.
CCCUUAGAUGUUCUGGGCCGCACACGCGCUACACUGAAGGAGGCAGCGUGUACUCCUGGAUCGAAAGAUUUGGGUAACCCGCGAAUCUCCUUCGUGCUAGGGAUUGAGGUUUGCAAUUAUCCUUCAUGAACGAGGAAUUCCCAGUAAGUGCAAGUCAUAAGCUUGCGCUGACUACGUCCCUGCCCUUUGUACACACCACCCGUCGCUACUACCGAUUGAAUGAUUUAGUGAGGACUUCGGACUGGGACCGAUGCGGCUUUCGGGCUGCGUCGGUAUUCUGGAAAGAUGUCCAAACUGUAUCAUUUAGAGGAAGUAAAAGUCGUANCA